This 253-nucleotide ribosomal RNA is filed under the name uncultured bacterium. RNAcentral's name for it is "partial 16S ribosomal RNA". It matches the Rfam family "Bacterial small subunit ribosomal RNA", at positions 524 to 776 of the family's 1533-position model. The record is from RNAcentral.
UACGUAGGGUGCGAGCGUUGUCCGGAAUUAUUGGGCGUAAAGGGCUCGUAGGCGGUUUGUCGCGUCGGGAGUGAAAACCUUGGGCUUAACUCAGGGCUUGCUUUCGAUACGGGCAGACUAGAGGUAUGCAGGGGAGAACGGAAUUCCUGGUGUAGCGGUGAAAUGCGCAGAUAUCAGGAGGAACACCUAUGGCGAAGGCAGCUCGCUGGGACGGUACUGACGCUGAGACGCGAAAGCGUGGGGAGCAAACAGG